AUGGUCAGUGUUUGGUUGAGAAGCCGCAUCCGUGUGACGUGGCGUAUUCUAAAGAGGAGGGCGCAGUGCGUGGGGCCUACUACUCGGCUGUUUGGCCCAUUCGCCUCUGCUGCAACGUCACUGACGGCGAGUUCAUCGGAUGGGCUGGAACCAAACCAAGGCGGCGUCGACAGACAGACGGCGUGUUUAUUAGCUGCCCCGCCGUGUGCGGUGUGCCGUCGUCGGUCGCCAGGAUCGCCGUCUUCACAGGGCAAUAUAUAUGUGGCAGGUCCGCUCCACCCCCUCCCGGUCCUCCUGCCUACGCUGCCACGGCAAAAAGAGAAAGAAAAAAAGGAUUCGCAGAGAAUAAUAAGCUGCAAAGGAGGAGGAGAAUACGAAUAUUCCAUUCGUCUGUUUUUGUUUUGCCUUUAA
This 411-nucleotide ribosomal RNA is filed under the name Triticum aestivum (bread wheat). Its description in RNAcentral is "partial small subunit ribosomal RNA". The record is from RNAcentral. Lineage: Eukaryota; Viridiplantae; Streptophyta; Magnoliopsida; Poales; Poaceae.